AGGACGAACGCUGGCGGCGUGCUUAACACAUGCAAGUCGAGCGGAAAGGCCCUUCGGGGUACUCGAGCGGCGAACGGGUGAGUAACACGUGAGCAACCUGCCCCUGGCUCUGGGAUAGCCUCCGGAAACGGGGAUUAAUACCGGACAUUCACUUUCUUCCGCAUGGUCGGGAGUGGAAAGUUUUUCGGCCAGGGAGGGGCUCGCGGCCUAUCAGCUUGUUGGCGGGGUAACGGCCCACCAAGGCGACGACGGGUAGCCGGCCUGAGAGGGCGACCGGCCACACUGGGACUGAGACACGGCCCAGACUCCUACGGGAGGCAGCAGUGGGGAAUAUGCGCAAUGGGCGAAAGCCUGACGCAGCGACGCCGCGUGGGGGAUGAAGGCCUUCGGGUUGUAAACCCGUUUCUACCAGGAGCGAAUCCAGACGGUACCUGGGAAGAAGACGCCGGCUAACUACGUGCCAGCAGCCGC
RNAcentral lists this ribosomal RNA (471 nucleotides) under uncultured bacterium. RNAcentral describes it as "SSU rRNA". It matches the Rfam family "Bacterial small subunit ribosomal RNA", at positions 26 to 518 of the family's 1533-position model. The record is from RNAcentral.